Molecule: transfer RNA, 85 nt
Filed under: bacterium
Lineage: Bacteria
Description: tRNA-Ser
Rfam family: tRNA
About the family: Transfer RNA (tRNA) molecules are approximately 80 nucleotides in length. Their secondary structure includes four short double-helical elements and three loops (D, anti-codon, and T loops). Further hydrogen bonds mediate the characteristic L-shaped molecular structure. tRNAs have two regions of fundamental functional importance: the anti-codon, which is responsible for specific mRNA codon recognition, and the 3' end, to which the tRNAs corresponding amino acid is attached (by aminoacyl-tRNA synthetases). tRNAs cope with the degeneracy of the genetic code in two manners: having more than one tRNA (with a specific anti-codon) for a particular amino acid; and 'wobble' base-pairing, i.e. permitting non-standard base-pairing at the 3rd anti-codon position.
Source: RNAcentral
GGACAGGUCGUAUAGUGGUCUAGUGCACCGCACUCGAAAUGCGGAGAGGGGCAACCCUCCGUGGGUUCGAAUCCCACCCUGUCCG